CGGGAGACACAGACUGCUUCCCCUGCCUUCCUCUGUUUUCUUCUUUUGACCUCCUCCAGACUUACCUGGACAGAUUUUAUGGCAGCUGUUUCUUGAUUAUCAUGGAAAAGGUGUUGCUGAGGACUUCCAUAUCCUGUAACAUUGGACAAGGUUGGAUUUAUGCUGACCACCCCUUACCCCCAAAUGGAUUUUGUCCUGGUGCACAAAGAUUAGAUUAC
Molecule: long non-coding RNA, 218 nt
Organism: Neogale vison (American mink)
Lineage: Eukaryota; Metazoa; Chordata; Mammalia; Carnivora; Mustelidae
Exons: 3
Source: RefSeq, a predicted model, not a curated record